Molecule: transfer RNA, 58 nt
Filed under: Loxodonta africana (African savanna elephant)
Lineage: Eukaryota; Metazoa; Chordata; Mammalia; Proboscidea; Elephantidae
Rfam family: tRNA
About the family: Transfer RNA (tRNA) molecules are approximately 80 nucleotides in length.
Source: Rfam by way of RNAcentral
UGGCAAAAUGGUUAAAGCUCUCAGCUGCUAACUGAAAGGUCGGUGGUUCGAAUUCACC